This 508-nucleotide ribosomal RNA is filed under the name uncultured bacterium. RNAcentral's name for it is "partial 16S ribosomal RNA". It matches the Rfam family "Bacterial small subunit ribosomal RNA", at positions 30 to 523 of the family's 1533-position model. The record is from RNAcentral.
AUUGAACGCUGGCGGCAUGCCUUACACAUGCAAGUCGAACGGCAGCGGGGGAGAAGCUUGCUUUUCCUGCCGGCGAGUGGCGAACGGGUGAGUAAUACAUCGGAACGUGCCCUGUAGUGGGGGAUAACUAGUCGAAAGAUUAGCUAAUACCGCAUACGACCUGAGGGUGAAAGUGGGGGACCGCAAGGCCUCAUGCUAUAGGAGCGGCCGAUGUCUGAUUAGCUAGUUGGUGGGGUAAAGGCCAACCAAGGCGACGAUCAGUAGCUGGUCUGAGAGGACGAUCAGCCACACUGGGACUGAGACACGGCCCAGACUCCUACGGGAGGCAGCAGUGGGGAAUUUUGGACAAUGGGCGAAAGCCUGAUCCAGCAAUGCCGCGUGUGUGAAGAAAGCCUUCGGGUUGUAAAGCACUUUUGUCCGGAAAGAAAUGGCUCUGGUUAAUACCUGGGGUCGAUGACGGUACCGGAAGAAUAAGGACCGGCUAACUACGUGCCAGCCGCCGCGGUAA